Molecule: ribosomal RNA, 560 nt
Filed under: Serratia sp. C10-3
Lineage: Bacteria; Pseudomonadati; Pseudomonadota; Gammaproteobacteria; Enterobacterales; Yersiniaceae
Description: bacterial SSU rRNA
Rfam family: Bacterial small subunit ribosomal RNA
Source: RNAcentral
AGGGGGAUAACUACUGGAAACGGUAGCUAAUACCGCAUAACGUCUUCGGACCAAAGUGGGGGACCUUCGGGCCUCACACCAUCGGAUGUGCCCAGAUGGGAUUAGCUAGUAGGUGGGGUAAUGGCUCACCUAGGCGACGAUCCCUAGCUGGUCUGAGAGGAUGACCAGCCACACUGGAACUGAGACACGGUCCAGACUCCUACGGGAGGCAGCAGUGGGGAAUAUUGCACAAUGGGCGCAAGCCUGAUGCAGCCAUGCCGCGUGUGUGAAGAAGGCCUUCGGGUUGUAAAGCACUUUCAGCGAGGAGGAAGGCCAAUAGCUUAAUAGGCUGUUGGAUUGACGUUACUCGCAGAAGAAGCACCGGCUAACUCCGUGCCAGCAGCCGCGGUAAUACGGAGGGUGCAAGCGUUAAUCGGAAUUACUGGGCGUAAAGCGCACGCAGGCGGUUUGUUAAGUCAGAUGUGAAAUCCCCGAGCUUAACUUGGGAACUGCAUUUGAAACUGGCAAGCUAGAGUCUUGUAGAGGGGGGUAGAAUUCCAGGUGUAGCGGUGAAAUGCGUA